Long non-coding RNA from Saccostrea echinata, 330 nucleotides. RefSeq lists it as uncharacterized. Lineage: Eukaryota; Metazoa; Mollusca; Bivalvia; Ostreida; Ostreidae. The transcript has 3 exons. The record is from RefSeq and is a predicted model, not a curated record.
AUUCAUGAUGUGUGUUCUAGGAAUGUUAAAGAAAUCUACAUUAAGGUCUCUAACUAAAAUUAUUUUACUGGAAAUAUCAGAAGCUCUUUCUAUAGACCACAUAAGAUUAUUCCAAAAGGAUUUGUUUCUAUUUGGUGGACGGUAUACACAGCACAGAAAAAAAUUACAAAAAACACAGAGGGAGAAUUAGAUGCAAAACUAAAGAGGAAAUUUGGACUUGGUUCGUCUUCUCUCAUUAUUGCCUAAAACCUUCGGGGAUUCUGCCCAAAUGGAGCUUACCAAGGGAAAUCCUCCCAGUGUAUUUGUAAAUGUCUUAUAACUUGAGCUUGU